Molecule: small RNA, 31 nt
Filed under: Bombyx mori (domestic silkworm)
Lineage: Eukaryota; Metazoa; Arthropoda; Insecta; Lepidoptera; Bombycidae
Description: ovarian small RNA-35192
Source: RNAcentral
UGGUGUGCUAUGCCGACGACACGUUGGUGAC